This 468-nucleotide ribosomal RNA is filed under the name uncultured bacterium. RNAcentral describes it as "partial 16S ribosomal RNA". It matches the Rfam family "Bacterial small subunit ribosomal RNA", at positions 28 to 507 of the family's 1533-position model. The record is from RNAcentral.
GACGAACGCUGGCGGCGUGCUUAACACAUGCAAGUCGAACGGAAAGGCCCUGCUUUUGUGGGGUGCUCGAGUGGCGAACGGGUGAGUAACACGUGAGUAACCUGCCCUUGACUUUGGGAUGACUUCAGGAAACUGGGGCUAAUACCGGAUAGGAGCUCCUGCUGCAUGGUGGGGGUUGGAAAGUUUCGGCGGUUGGGGAUGGACUCGCGGCUUAUCAGCUUGUUGGUGGGGUAGUGGCUUACCAAGGCUUUGACGGGUAGCCGGCCUGAGAGGGUGACCGGCCACAUUGGGACUGAGAUACGGCCCAGACGCCUACGGGAGGCAGCAGUGGGGAAUAUUGCACAAUGGGCGGAAGCCGGAUGCAGCAGCGCCGCGUGCUGGAUGACGGCCUUCGGGUUGUAAACCGCUUUCGCCUGUGACGAAGCGUGAGUGACGGUAAUGGGUAAAGAAGCACCGGCUAACUACGUG